This 69-nucleotide transfer RNA is filed under the name Ictidomys tridecemlineatus (thirteen-lined ground squirrel). RNAcentral describes it as "Spermophilus tridecemlineatus (thirteen-lined ground squirrel) tRNA". It matches the Rfam family "tRNA". From Rfam's summary of the family: Transfer RNA (tRNA) molecules are approximately 80 nucleotides in length. Their secondary structure includes four short double-helical elements and three loops (D, anti-codon, and T loops). Lineage: Eukaryota; Metazoa; Chordata; Mammalia; Rodentia; Sciuridae. The record is from Rfam by way of RNAcentral.
GGAGCUGUGGCUCAGUGGUAGAGCAUUUGCCUAGCAUGCAUGAGGCACUGGGUUCAAUUCUCAGUACCA